GGAGGGAUGGCUCAGUGGUUAAGAGCACUUAUUCUCUCAGAGGAUCCAAGUUCGAUUCUCAGCCCCUCCA
RNAcentral lists this transfer RNA (70 nucleotides) under Mus musculus (house mouse). It matches the Rfam family "tRNA". From Rfam's summary of the family: Transfer RNA (tRNA) molecules are approximately 80 nucleotides in length. Their secondary structure includes four short double-helical elements and three loops (D, anti-codon, and T loops). RNAcentral also lists the same sequence under 1 other name. Lineage: Eukaryota; Metazoa; Chordata; Mammalia; Rodentia; Muridae. The record is from Rfam by way of RNAcentral.